This is a non-coding RNA of Oncorhynchus mykiss (rainbow trout), 1199 nucleotides long. The record is from RefSeq and is a predicted model, not a curated record. Lineage: Eukaryota; Metazoa; Chordata; Actinopteri; Salmoniformes; Salmonidae.
CGUAAACACACUAUUGCGUGUGUCUGCCUAGUAACGUUAGUGUGUGAAGAGUCCGACCAUUUCCUGCAGAGGCUUCUGUUUCCACAGUUAUUUCAGGCUGGUGGCUCCCCUGAACACGUCAUCCAGCUCCUGUCGGAGAACUACUCCGCUGUGGCCCAGACUGUCAACCUGCUGGCAGAGUGGCUCAUCCAGAUGGGUGUAGAUCCAGCUCAGGUGCAGGAACGGGUAGAGAAUCACUUGAAGAGUCUGCUGAUCAAGCAUUUGACCCCCAGAAGGCUGACUCCAUCUUUACCGUGGAGGGAGAGACUCCUUUCUGGAUGGAACAGAUGAUCGCCCACACCACCUGGAGAAACCUUUUCUACAAGCUGGCCGAGGCCAACCCUGACUGUUUGAUGCUCAACUUCACUGUCAAGCUCAUCUCAGACGCGGGCUACCAGGGGAGAUCACCAGUGUGUCCACGGCGUGCCAGCAGCUGGAGGUGUUCGCCAGGGUCCUGAGAACCUCUCUGGCCACACUGCUGGAUGGAGGAGAGGACAACCUGGAGAAGAACCUGCCAGAGUUCGCUAAGAUGGUGUGUCACGGUGAGCACACUUACCUGUUUGCCCAGGCCAUGAUGUCCAUCAUGUCUCAGGAGGAGCAGGGAGGGUCGGCCAUGCGCAGGAUCGGCCAGGAAGUACAGAAGUCUGCACAUCAGAGCCCACUGCAAAUCCAACUUCAUAAUGAACUGAGAAUGACACUGGUUCGGUUUAACUUGACUGAGGAUGUAGCGGGAAGACCAGGACCUUUUGGUUAUGAGCCAAUCCCUGGAUGUGUUCUGCUGAACGAGGACUGGAACAUUGCCGAUUGAGGCUGACCACUUGGGUGUAGACUUUCACCUGCAACUUUUUAUUUUCAAAUGUGGUGUAAACACAUGACUCAGAAUUAGGAUGUUGUGUAUUAUUGCUUGUCUGGAGGUAUGUGGAGAACUUGUGCAGCUCCAUUCAUUUCACUGUAGUUUCCAUUAGUAUGAGCUAAAGUUUAGGUCUGUUAAAUGUAUGUAUGACUGACUGCUCAAAAGGUUUGGCCUUUUUCAUGGUUGCCUUUUUCAAUUUGACAAGAAUCAUGACACAUCUUGGUUUUAUUAGUUCCAGACGUAGCGACAGCCACCAUUCUUCAGCAUUUAUUUUGAGGUGGUUCAGAAAAUGUAUCAACUAUUAAAA